This 612-nucleotide ribosomal RNA is filed under the name Triticum aestivum (bread wheat). RNAcentral describes it as "partial small subunit ribosomal RNA". Lineage: Eukaryota; Viridiplantae; Streptophyta; Magnoliopsida; Poales; Poaceae. The record is from RNAcentral.
AUGCACCAGAAUGCAUUUAUUAAGCAUAGAAAUAUCAUGGAUGGAGUAUUGCCUUUGCAUGAGAUUUUGCAUCAUACUUCCAUCAAAAAAGGGCGUAUUGUUAUUAAGCUCGACUUCAAGAAAGCAUAUGACAAGGUGAACUGGGAUUUUCUGUUGGAAUGUCUCGAGAUGAGAGGGUUUGGUACCACUUGGUGUAAGUGGGUUAAAAGUAUCUUGGUUGAUGGCACAGUUAGUGUUAAGCUGAACAAUACCAUGGGCUCGUAUUUCAAAAGCUUUAAAGGGGUCAGACAGGGGGAUCUUGUGUCGCCGUUCCUUUUUAACAUAGCAGUCGAGUGUCUGUGUAAAAUGGUGCUACAGGCUCAGAAAAGUAACUUAAUUGUUGGGCUUGCACCGGACCUUAUUGAAAAUGGAGUGGCCAUUCUGCAAUAUGCAGAUGAUACAGUCUUGUGCAUAGACCAUGAUCUGGAUAAGGAUGUGAACAUGAAACUGUUAUUGUACAUCUUCGAGCUCAUGUCUGGGCUCAAACUAAAUUUUCAAAAAAGUGAAAUCCUGUGUGUAGGGGGGAUGAUGAUAUCCUUAAAGCAUAUGUUGAUAUUUUUGAUUGCCAAAUAG